GGGAAUUGUAGUCCUGCUCUUAGUCAGCAUUUGGCACAAGCAACGGGCCUGCAAGUCCUGGAAUACGAUCAAUUAAAGGGCAAGUGACCAGGAUUUAUCGCCCUGGGGUCUGGGGCUGCAUCUCUGCAAUUAGAUUCUGCUGUCGGACCAGAUGAACAUUACUGAGGUUCUAGUCCGGUAUAAUUUAUCUUAUCAAUAAUGGGGGAAGCAAGACGGAUAAUGGAGACGGUCAUAAAACACGCUUUUGAGAUAGUCUACCUACUUACUGGAGAGAGUUAUAUUGUAGUGAAGAUAAAAGAUGAGCACAGUCCAUUUGUGGCUAAAAGCGUUUAUGGGCCGCCAUCUGCUGUGUUUGCGUGGGAGAAAACUG
Molecule: long non-coding RNA, 370 nt
Organism: Bombina bombina (fire-bellied toad)
Lineage: Eukaryota; Metazoa; Chordata; Amphibia; Anura; Bombinatoridae
Exons: 3
Source: RefSeq, a predicted model, not a curated record